AAAACGACUCUCGGCAACGGAUAUCUCGGCUCUCGCAUCGAUGAAGAACGCAGCGAAAUGCGAUACUUGGUGUGAAUUGCAGAAUCCCGCGAACCAUMGAGUYUUUGAACGCAAGUUGCGCCCAAARCCUUUUGGCCGAGGGCAMGUYUGCCUGGGUGUCACGCAACAU
RNAcentral lists this ribosomal RNA (169 nucleotides) under Croton corylifolius. Its description in RNAcentral is "5.8S ribosomal RNA". It matches the Rfam family "5.8S ribosomal RNA". From Rfam's summary of the family: 5.8S ribosomal RNA (5.8S rRNA) is a component of the large subunit of the eukaryotic ribosome. It is transcribed by RNA polymerase I as part of the 45S precursor that also contains 18S and 28S rRNA. The record is from RNAcentral. Lineage: Eukaryota; Viridiplantae; Streptophyta; Magnoliopsida; Malpighiales; Euphorbiaceae.